UUUAAAAAAGUAUAGUGUUGAGUAUCCCCGCCUGUCACAUGGGAGACCGGGGUUCAAUUCCCCGCUUGAGAG
Molecule: transfer RNA, 72 nt
Filed under: Entomophthora muscae
Lineage: Eukaryota; Fungi; Entomophthoromycota; Entomophthoromycetes; Entomophthorales; Entomophthoraceae
Description: tRNA-Asp
Rfam family: tRNA
About the family: Transfer RNA (tRNA) molecules are approximately 80 nucleotides in length. Their secondary structure includes four short double-helical elements and three loops (D, anti-codon, and T loops).
Source: RNAcentral